UUAUAGUGUGAUCCUGGCUGAUCAAACGCUAGCGGGAGGCUUAACACAUGCAAGUCGAGGGGUAACAUUGGAGCUUGCUUCAGAUGACGACCGGCGCACGGGUGAGUAACGCGUAUGCAACCUACCUCAAACAGGGGAAUAGCUCAGGGAAACCUGGAUUAAUACCCCAUAAUAUUUAGAUUUGGCAUCAGAUUUAAAUUAAAACUCCGGUGGUUUGAGAUGGGCAUGCGUGACAUUAGCUAGUUGGUAAGGUAAUGGCUUACCAAGGCUACGAUGUCUAGGGGUUCUGAGAGGAUGAUCCCCCACACUGGUACUGAGACACGGACCAGACUCCUACGGGAGGCAGCAGUGAGGAAUAUUGGUCAAUGGGCGCAAGCCUGAACCAGCCAUCCCGCGUGUAGGAAGACUGCCCUAUGGGUUGUAAACUACUUUUAUAAAGGAAGAAACUCCCGCACGUGUGCGGGACUGACUGUACUAUCAGAAUAAGCACCGGCUAACUCCGUGCCAGCAGCCGCGGUAAUACGGAGGGUGCAAGCGUUAUCCGGAUUUAUUGGGUUUAAAGGGUGCGCAGGCGGGGCAAUAAGUCAGUGGUGAAAUCCUACGGCUCAACCGUAGAACUGCCAUUGAUACUGUUGCUCUUGAGUACGGUUGAGGUAGGCGGAAUGUGGCAUGUAGCGGUGAAAUGCAUAGAUAUGCCACAGAACACCGAUAGCGAAGGCAGCUUACCAAACCGUCACUGACGCUGAGGCACGAAAGCGUGGGGAGCGAACAGGAUUAGAUACCCUGGUAGUCCACGCUGUAAACGAUGAUCACUCGUUGUUGGCGAUACACUGUCAGCGACCAAGCGAAAGCGUUAAGUGAUCCACCUGGGGAGUACGUUCGCAAGAAUGAAACUCAAAGGAAUUGACGGGGGCCCGCACAAGCGGUGGAGCAUGUGGUUUAAUUCGAUGAUACGCGAGGAACCUUACCUGGGCUUAAAUGUUGGACGACAGUCCCCGAAAGGGGAUUUUUCUUCGGGGCGGAUUGCAAGGUGCUGCAUGGUUGUCGUCAGCUCGUGCCGUGAGGUGUCGGGUUAAGUCCCAUAACGAGCGCAACCCCUAUCCUUAGUUGCCAUCAGGUAAUGCUGGGGACUCUAAGGGAACUGCCUACGCAAGUAGUGAGGAAGGUGGGGAUGACGUCAAAUCAGCACGGCCCUUAUGUCCAGGGCUACACACGUGCUACAAUGGUCGGUACAGAGGGUCGCUACCUGGUGACAGGAUGCUAAUCUCAAAAACCGAUCUCAGUUCGGAUCGAAGUCUGCAACUCGACUUCGUGAAGUUGGAUUCGCUAGUAAUCGCAUAUCAGCAAUGGUGCGGUGAAUACGUUCCCGGGCCUUGUACACACCGCCCGUCAAGCCAUGGAAGCUGGGGGUACCUGAAGUCUGUGACCGCAAGGAGCGGCCUAGGGUAAAACUAGUAACUGGGGCUAAGUCGUAACAAGGUAACCAAGGGCGAA
Molecule: ribosomal RNA, 1494 nt
Filed under: uncultured prokaryote
Description: partial 16S ribosomal RNA
Rfam family: Bacterial small subunit ribosomal RNA
Source: RNAcentral